UGAGACAGGUGCUGCAUGGCUGUCGUCAGCUCGUGUUGUGAAAUGUUGGGUUAAGUCCCGCAACGAGCGCAACCCUUAUCCUUUGUUGCCAGCGGUCCGGCCGGGAACUCAAAGGAGACUGCCAGUGAUAAACUGGAGGAAGGUGGGGAUGACGUCAAGUCAUCAUGGCCCUUACGAGUAGGGCUACACACGUGCUACAAUGGCAUAUACAAAGAGAAGCGACCUCGCGAGAGCAAGCGGACCUCAUAAAGUAUGUCGUAGUCCGGAUUGGAGUCUGCAACUCGACUCCAUGAAGUCGGAAUCGCUAGUAAUCGUGGAUCAGAAUGCCACGGUGAAUACGUUCCCGGGCCUUGUACACACCGCCCGUCACACCAUGGGAGUGGGUUGCAAAAGAAGUAGGUAGCUUAACCUUCGGGAGGGCGCUUACCACUUUGUGAUUCAUGACUGGGGUGAAGUCGUAACAAGGUAACCGUAGGGGAACCUGCGGUUGGAUCACCUCCUUACCUGAAAGAA
RNAcentral lists this ribosomal RNA (513 nucleotides) under Klebsiella sp. KG9. RNAcentral's name for it is "bacterial SSU rRNA". It matches the Rfam family "Bacterial small subunit ribosomal RNA", at positions 1030 to 1533 of the family's 1533-position model. The record is from RNAcentral. Lineage: Bacteria; Pseudomonadati; Pseudomonadota; Gammaproteobacteria; Enterobacterales; Enterobacteriaceae.